GACGAACGCUGGCGGCGUGCUUAAUACAUGCAAGUCAACUGAACUUGAAGUAGCAAUAUUUCAAGGGAGGUGGCGCACGGGUGAGUAACACGUAGGUAAUCUGCCUUUAGGUCUGACAUAAUUCCGCGAAAGCGGGACUAACUUCAGAUGAUGCAGCGGCUCGACAUCGAGACAGUUGUUAAAUCUUCGGAGCCUAAAGAUGAGCCUGCGUCUGAUUAGGUAGUUGGCGGAGUAAAAGCCCACCAAGCCUGCGAUCAGUAGCUGGUCUGAGAGGAUGAUCAGCCACACUGGAACUGAGACACGGUCCAGACUCCUACGGGAGGCAGCAGUAAGGAAUAUUGCUCAAUGGCCGAAAGGCUGAAGCAGCAACGCCGCGUGGAGGAUGAAAUACUUUUGUAUGUAAACUCCUGUAAGAAGGGAAAAUAUUUCGAUUUAUCGGAAUUGAUUGUACCUUCAGAGUAAGCACCGGCUAACU
RNAcentral lists this ribosomal RNA (475 nucleotides) under uncultured bacterium. RNAcentral's name for it is "bacterial SSU rRNA". It matches the Rfam family "Bacterial small subunit ribosomal RNA", at positions 28 to 502 of the family's 1533-position model. The record is from RNAcentral.